AUGAACGCUGGCGGCGUGCCUAAUACAUGCAAGUCGAGCGAACAGACGAGGAGCUUGCUCCUCUGACGUUAGCGGCGGACGGGUGAGUAACACGUGGAUAACCUACCUAUAAGACUGGGAUAACUUCGGGAAACCGGAGCUAAUACCGGAUAAUAUAUUGAACCGCAUGGUUCAAUAGUGAAAGACGGUUUUGCGGUCACUUAUAGAUGGAUCCGCGCCGCAUUAGCUAGUUGGUAAGGUAACGGCUUACCAAGGCAACGAUGCGUAGCCGACCUGAGAGGGUGAUCGGCCACACUGGAACUGAGACACGGUCCAGACUCCUACGGGAGGCAGCAGUAGGGAAUCUUCCGCAAUGGGCGAAAGCUUGACGGAGCAACGCCGCGUGAGUGAUGAAGGUCUUCGGAUCGUAAAACUCUGUUAUUAGGGAAGAACAAAUGUGUAAGUAACUAUGCACGUCUUGACGGUACCUAAUCAGAAAGCCACGGCUAACUACGUG
RNAcentral lists this ribosomal RNA (496 nucleotides) under uncultured bacterium. RNAcentral describes it as "partial 16S ribosomal RNA". It matches the Rfam family "Bacterial small subunit ribosomal RNA", at positions 29 to 507 of the family's 1533-position model. The record is from RNAcentral.